RNAcentral lists this ribosomal RNA (553 nucleotides) under uncultured Cryptococcus. RNAcentral describes it as "eukaryotic LSU rRNA". The stretch from base 177 to 330 matches the Rfam family "5.8S ribosomal RNA". The record is from RNAcentral. Lineage: Eukaryota; Fungi; Basidiomycota; Tremellomycetes.
CUUGGUCAUUUAGAGGAAGUAAAAGUCGUAACAAGGUUUCCGUAGGUGAAUCUGCGGAAGGAUCAUUAGUGAACGCCCUCACGGGCUUAUAACUAUUCCAAACCUCUGUGAACCGUGCCCUUCGGGGCUAUUUUACAAACAUGGUGUAAUGAACGUCAUAUAUCAUAACAAAACAAAACUUUCAACAACGGAUCUCUUGGCUCUCGCAUCGAUGAAGAACGCAGCGAAAUGCGAUAAGUAAUGUGAAUUGCAGAAUUCAGUGAAUCAUCGAAUCUUUGAACGCACCUUGCGCCCUCUGGUAUUCCGGAGGGCAUGCCUGCUUGAGUGUCAUGUAGACUCAAUCCCUCGGGUUUUCGAGGAGAUUGGACUUGGGUGUUGCCGCUCUGCCGGCUCGCCUUAAAAGACUUAGCGGGAUAGCACCGUAGUCGGCGUAAUAAGUUUCGUCGGUGAAGGUUGUGAUGACUGCUUACAAUCGCCCUCGGGCAAUUUUUGACUCUGACCUCAAAUCAGGUAGGACUACCCGCUGAACUUAAGCAUAUCAAUAAGCGGAGGA